AUACGGAGGGGGCAAGCGUUGUUCGGAAUUACUGGGCGUAAAGCGCAUGCAGGCGGAUCGCUAAGUCGGGGGUGAAAGCCCGAGGCUCAACCUCGGAACUGCCUUCGAUACUGGCGAUCUUGAGUCCGGGAGAGGUGAGUGGAACUCCGAGUGUAGAGGUGAAAUUCGUAGAUAUUAGGAAGAACACCAGUGGCGAAGGCGGCUCACUGGCCCGGUACUGACGCUGAGGCGCGAAAGCGUGGGGAGCAAACAGGAUUAGAAACCCCAGUAGUCC
RNAcentral lists this ribosomal RNA (274 nucleotides) under uncultured bacterium. Its description in RNAcentral is "partial 16S ribosomal RNA". It matches the Rfam family "Bacterial small subunit ribosomal RNA", at positions 523 to 796 of the family's 1533-position model. The record is from RNAcentral.